CCUACGGGAGGCAGCAGUGAGGAAUAUUGGUCAAUGGGCGCGAGCCUGAACCAGCCAAGUCGCGUGAAGGAUGACUGCCCUACUGGUUGUAAGCUUCUUUUAUUAAGGCAUAAAGUGAGGCACGUGUGCCUUUUUGUCUGUACUUUAUGAAUAAGGAUCGGCUAACUCCGUGCCAGCGGCCGCGGUAAUGCGGGGGAUCCGAGCGUUAUCCGGAUUUAUUGGGUUUAAAGGGAGCGUAGAUGGGUUGUUAAGUCAGUUGUGAAAGUUUGCGGCUCAACCGUAAAAUUGCAAUUGAUACUGGUAGUCUUGAGUACAGGUGAGGUAGGCGGAAUUCGUGGUGUAGCGGUGAAAUGCUUAGAUAUCACGAAGAACUUCGAUUGCGAAGGCAGCUUACUAAACUGCAACUGACAUUGAUGCUCGAAAGUGUGGGUAUCAAACAGGAUUAGAUACCCCGGUAGUC
Molecule: ribosomal RNA, 460 nt
Filed under: uncultured bacterium
Lineage: Bacteria
Description: partial 16S ribosomal RNA
Rfam family: Bacterial small subunit ribosomal RNA
Source: RNAcentral